AAACUACUGACUGAUGAUGGCAA
This 23-nucleotide non-coding RNA is filed under the name Mus musculus (house mouse). Lineage: Eukaryota; Metazoa; Chordata; Mammalia; Rodentia; Muridae. The record is from RNAcentral.